UACGUAGGGGGCUAGCGUUGUCCGGAAUCAUUGGGCGUAAAGCGCGCGUAGGCGGCCCGGUAAGUCCGCUGUAAAAGUCAAAGGCUCAACCUUUGAAUGUCAGUGGAUACUGCCGGGCUAGAGUGCGGAAGGGGCAACUGGAAUUCUCGGUGUAGCGGUGAAAUGCGUAGAUAUCGAGAGGAACACCUGCGGCGAAGGCGGGUUGCUGGGCCGACACUGACGCUGAUGCGCGAAGGCCAGGGGAGCGAACGGG
Molecule: ribosomal RNA, 253 nt
Filed under: uncultured bacterium
Lineage: Bacteria
Description: partial 16S ribosomal RNA
Rfam family: Bacterial small subunit ribosomal RNA
Source: RNAcentral